UGAGGAAUAUUGGUCAAUGGACGCAAGUCUGAACCAGCCAUGCCGCGUGAAGGAUGAAGGCGUUCUGCGUUGUAAACUUCUUUUAUCUGGGAAGAAACCUUAGUUUUCUAAUUAAGCCGACGGUACCAGAGGAAUAAGCACCGGCUAACUCCGUGCCAGCAGCCGCGGUAAUACGGAGGGUGCAAGCGUUAUCCGGAUUCACUGGGUUUAAAGGGUGUGUAGGCGGGCAGGUAAGUCCGAGGUGAAAUCUCUGAGCUCAACUCAGAAACUGCCUUGGAUACUAUUUGUCUUGAAUAUCGUUGAGGUUGGCGGAAUAUGUCAUGUAGCGGUGAAAUGCUUAGAUAUGACAUAGAACACCGAUUGCGAAGGCAGCUAGCUAAACGAUUAUUGACGCUGAGGCACGAAAGCGUGGGGAUCAAACA
This 422-nucleotide ribosomal RNA is filed under the name uncultured Edaphobaculum sp. RNAcentral describes it as "bacterial SSU rRNA". It matches the Rfam family "Bacterial small subunit ribosomal RNA", at positions 355 to 774 of the family's 1533-position model. The record is from RNAcentral. Lineage: Bacteria; Pseudomonadati; Bacteroidota; Chitinophagia; Chitinophagales; Chitinophagaceae.